RNAcentral lists this ribosomal RNA (248 nucleotides) under uncultured bacterium. Its description in RNAcentral is "partial 16S ribosomal RNA". It matches the Rfam family "Bacterial small subunit ribosomal RNA", at positions 524 to 768 of the family's 1533-position model. The record is from RNAcentral.
UACGUAGGGUGCAAGCGUUGUCCGGAAUUAUUGGGCGUAAAGAGCUCGUAGGCGGUCUGUCGCGUCUGCUGUGAAAACUCGGGGCUUAACCCCGGGCCUGCAGUGGGUACGGGCAGACUAGAGUGCGGUAGGGGAGACUGGAAUUCCUGGUGUAGCGGUGAAAUGCGCAGAUAUCAGGAGGAACACCGGUGGCGAAGGCGGGUCUCCUGGGCAGUAACUGACGCUGGAGGAGCGGAAAGCGUCGGGGA